This is a non-coding RNA of Acanthosepion pharaonis, 113 nucleotides long. NCBI's taxonomy places the organism in Eukaryota, Metazoa, Mollusca, Cephalopoda, Sepiida, Sepiidae. The record is from the annotation of a GenBank genome assembly.
UUACGGCCAUAUUACGUUAAAACUCCGGUUCCCGUAAGAUCAUCGAAGUUAAGCUACGUCGAGCCUGGUCAGUACGUAGAUAGGUUAACAAUUGGGAAUAGCAGGUGCUGUAA